Amphiprion ocellaris (clown anemonefish) is the source of this 2771-nucleotide long non-coding RNA. The record is from Ensembl. Lineage: Eukaryota; Metazoa; Chordata; Actinopteri; Pomacentridae.
AUUUUAUUGAGAUAUGAAAUAAAUUUAAGCUCAGAUUAGGGUCAUUGUUACACGUCACAGGCGAUUAGUUCAAGGACUGUGAGGAAGUCAGUUUUUCUAGUUUCCUGCUGAUAAAUGGUUGGUUUUGGGUUCAGAGGGUGAAUUAAUUAUUUUUAAUUAUUUUACUGUUUAAGGUGUGUUUAGUAAAGAUGUGAGAGCUGAAUCCCUCCGUCUGAUCAGAGUUCAUGUUAUUAACCGUCGUUCCUACCUCACCGCCUCGUUUUCAUCGUUUUAAUCCAUUCAUCACCUGCUGCUGAGAAAAACUUCACUCUGAAAAUGUGAAAAUAAAUGAAAGAUUACUGUUUGCUGACAUUUAAUCGUCUCUGGUGUCAGUUUAACACAAACCAGCUGUUAAAGUAUUUUAUGUAACAGAAACUGACUUCUGCUAAACCCGACGUGCUUUUCUUUCUCACAGCUAGAAACAAAUCAGAUUCCUUCUAGAUUUUUAGCCGGCUAACGUAACUUUGCCAACGUUCAGCGACAGGUUUUAUGGCUAACUAGGUAACUGAGCUAACAUUACCAACAAAACAUCACGUCCAGUCAACUCUUUCAUGUUUCCAGCUAACGUGUUUCCUAGAAGAAUCCUAUAUAAAGAGUUUUAACGAAGAUCUUGACCGCUGCUUGACGUGCUAAAAUGCUAAGGCAAACUAACUUUCUGAUCCAUGUAUAAAACACAAAACCAAAACACAGUAACUACAUAUUGUUCCAAAUCUAUUUUUUAAUAUUUAUCGGUCACCGCACUACUAGCUAGCUAAGGCUAAUCUAAAUGUGGUCACAGUUAGCCUCAGCUAAAGCUACUUUAGUGACUUUUUCAUACUGUUUUCAGUAAGAGCAAUUAAUUUAGAUUUUACAGCAUCUUGGAUGUUAAAUUAGGAUGAAGCUAAUCAUAAAGGACAAAAGUAAUAUGCAGACUCUAGCUAAAAGCUAACUAGCCUAGCCUAGCCUAGCUUAGAUGUCCAAUUGCAGACUACAGUAGUGAUUUUAUUGAGCAGUUAUGUUUUUCUUUAUGGGAAAUAAUCAAGGUUGUGCAACUUGUAAAGCUUCUCAAUGUCUGUUUUUCUGUUCAAAAAUACACAAACCGAAUCACAGUGACUCCCGCUAGCUAAGGCUAGUCCAACUACAGUCAGCUAAUUUUAGCUAAACAUAAUUUACUGACGUUUCCACGCUGUUUAAAUGUUGACACUCCACCAUCUUAGUAAUUGGAUAAAUAAGGCUAAACCUACUAGUAAUGGAGAGAGGUAACACGCAGAGUCAUGCUAAAAGCUAACUAGCAUAAUUCAGAUGUUUCCAGAAAACUUAAAUAGCUACACUGAUAUCAUGCUAAAAUGCUAAAUAGGUAAAAAAAAAUAAAUAAUAAAUCAAGAUUCUGUUUUACAAACCAAAACAAACUACUACAUGUAUCAUACCUAAUAAAUAUAGCUAAAGCUAAUGAUAAUGGAGAAAAGUGACAUGCUGAGUCAUGCUAAAAGCUAACUAGCCUACUUUACAUGUCCGAUCACAGAGUUUAGGACUGAUUUCGUCUGUUACAUUUUCUCAUUCCAGGUCAUUAAAUUAAGGUUUUACAGCGUUUAAAAAUCCUUUUCUUACACCUUCACUGUUAUUGUUAGCAUUAAAAGGUGCUAACAUUAGCAUAAACCUGCUUCUGAACAGUGAAUGAAUAAUACAAAGCUAUUGUGCUAAGAUUGUUUUUAAUGUAGAGCCACAAGCUAAUGGCGUUAGCCUCAGUUUGAAAGCAACACUUCUAGAACAGCUAAUUAGCCCGACGUGCUAGUAAGUUGCUAAGCUAUAACUGGGCAAUAAACGGCUGCUGGGAUUAGCAGGUUUAGCAAAAGUCAGUUGAAACUGUCACCAUGACGACUAAACGCUACGAAACACAGAAACACUGAUUUAGAGCCUUUAUUUUAAAGCUACAAGCUGUAGAAACUGAGUUAGCAUGUAGCUGUAGCCGUUAGCAUGUGGCUGUAGCCGUUAGCACGUGGCUGUAGCUGUUAGCAUGCUGCUACGAAACCAGCUGUGCCACGUCAACACUUUUUUCCUGUGAAGUUAAAGUGAAUUUGUUCUGGAUGUUUUCUGUGAUUUUAAAUGAAACCAAAUGAAAAUGUGACGUGAAGCUGAACUGAAACUAGCUGAUGAUGUUUGAAUGUCGACUUUUAGGGCACUUUUAUGGAACGAUGGCAUAAAUUAAAGCUUUACACGUGUCUGAACUGUGACUGCAGGUGGUUAGAGUGUAUUUUAUUGUAUGUUUCCUUUAAAUGUGUAGUUUAUUUUCUAUAUUAUGGGAUGUGACGGGAUGAAGUGUGGAGGGAAAUACUGGAGCAUCUUUUACAUCUCUACAGUCUUUUUUUUUUUCAAGUUUUACAUUUUCUCCUGCCGAACCUGAAUUUUUCUGUCCUUUUUCACAUUUAAUUUCCUUUCUAAAUGACCUGAUUUGUAAUUAAAGAACAUUCCAUCUGUGUUUCUUCAUUUUGAGUUUGAUUUUGGACCAAAACGACGAUAAAUUUGGCUCUGACUGGUUCUUUAAAAUAAUCUAAAUGAGAACAAACAGCCUCACUGAUGCUUCUGUUCACUGUAUGUAACAUUCACUAAUAAACAUAAAUAUUAAAUCUGAAGUAAAAUGACUCAUAACAGAUAUACUCACAGUUACAGAAUGUAUUAAAUAAUAAUAACAGUGUGUUCAAUAGUGAACUUGGCUGUAAAUUUAUUGCUUUGCACAAAUAAAAGGUAAAAAUGAG